UGUAGGGGUUGUCAUGACCUCUGUGCCGCCGCUAACGCAUUAAGUAUUCCGCCUGGGGAGUACGGUCGCAAGAUUAAAACUCAAAGGAAUUGACGGGGGCCCGCACAAGCAGCGGAGCAUGUGGUUUAAUUCGAAGCAACGCGAAGAACCUUACCUAGACUUGACAUCUCCUGAAUUACCCUUAAUCGGGGAAGCCCUUCGGGGCAGGAAGACAGGUGGUGCAUGGUUGUCGUCAGCUCGUGUCGUGAGAUGUUGGGUUAAGUCCCGCAACGAGCGCAACCCUUAUUGUUAGUUGCUACCAUUUAGUUGAGCACUCUAGCGAGACUGCCCGGGUUAACCGGGAGGAAGGUGGGGAUGACGUCAAAUCAUCAUGCCCCUUAUGUCUAGGGCUACACACGUGCUACAAUGGCUGGUACAGAGAGAUGCUAAACCGCGAGGUGGAGCCAAACUUUAAAACCAGUCUCAGUUCGGAUUGUAGGCUGAAACUCGCCUACAUGAAGCUGGAGUUGCUAGUAAUCGCGAAUCAGAAUGUCGCGGUGAAUACGUUCCC
RNAcentral lists this ribosomal RNA (550 nucleotides) under Clostridium acetobutylicum. Its description in RNAcentral is "bacterial SSU rRNA". It matches the Rfam family "Bacterial small subunit ribosomal RNA", at positions 821 to 1375 of the family's 1533-position model. Lineage: Bacteria; Bacillati; Bacillota; Clostridia; Eubacteriales; Clostridiaceae. The record is from RNAcentral. RNAcentral also lists the same sequence under 1 other name.